This 251-nucleotide ribosomal RNA is filed under the name uncultured prokaryote. RNAcentral describes it as "partial 16S rRNA". It matches the Rfam family "Bacterial small subunit ribosomal RNA", at positions 525 to 775 of the family's 1533-position model. The record is from RNAcentral.
ACGUAGGGGGCGAGCGUUGUCCGGAAUCAUUGGGCGUAAAGGGCGUGUAGGCGGUUUUGUAAGUCAGAUGUGAAAACCUCAGGCUCAACUUCAAGCCUGCCUCUGAAACUACAACACUGGAGGGCGGGAGAGGAAGAUGGAAUUCCAUGUGUAGCAGUGAAAUGCGUAGAUAUGUGGAGGAACACCAGUGGCGAAGGCAACUCUCUGGACUUGACCUGACGCUGAGGCGCGAAAGCGUGGGGAGCGAACGG